CUCGAGGAUCCGGGCAUUCUUGGGAGACGCCGACUGAGAGACAACAGCCCGCUGCCGGCGGGAAAUUCCUCGAGGGCAAGGCGGCCUUGUUUUGCACCCGACGCUGAUUGGCAUUCCCAGACAUCAAAGAGAUAAGUGGAGGGCUGUGAGCCACAGAGGGGUUGAAAGCGGGGCGGGUGGUCAGGAGUUAGCGGGAGGGUUUUUUGAGUCCGAUUUGCAUUCCGGGAUGGCGAAGGUGUGGCCCCUUAGGCUACCUAAAGGGAAAGUCUCACUUUUGAUUUUGGUGCUGAGCUGUGCAGGGCAGAGCAGUCCCAGGCUAUGUGGAGUCACUUGUCUAUUGUGCACUCUGUGUCUUUUGGGCAUCUCACAUUUCGUGUCGCUUUCCGUAGCCCUGCAAGGGACCUUUUGGAAACCCUGGCUUUGGUCUUAGCAUUUGGGAUCUCUGCGUUCCUUGGCUCAGCGCCUUUAACUCAGGAGCAUGCACAUGUGUUGGAAUUGCAUCCCUCUUCAGAAGCAUCCAGUCCGAGGUCUUUUCAUGUCUUGUUCUGAGCUGUACUGACAGCUGUGCACCGCAAUGAUCCCUUAUGGCAGAUUAGGCCUUGUAAGAAUGCCGAGCUAGGUCGAGGUAUCUGACCGUAGGGUUCUCGGGCAUCCAUCUUUGCGGUUCUCGGAUGAAGCAGUUCUGUUGGCAUCUUCUUGCUGCCGGGUUCUUUGAGCCUCAUCGGCUCCCCAUCGGUCUUAGCUCAGUCAUCUCCUUCCUCAUUCUCUCGGCCCUCAGGGUCCUUCUUCUUGCCGAGCCUUUUUUCUGUCCCUGUUGUGUCCUUCUCAUUGGUGGUGUCCUGUGUCACAGGUGUCACGGUGUGCGUUUGGCCCUGCGCUGCUCUGCCCUGCUGCGUGGCCUGGGUGUAGGGGUAAUAGGACAUGUCCUGGGGACUUGAAAUUUGCAGUGUAGGGUGUAGUGGGAGUGUAGAGGGUAUUUCUAGAUGGGCACAAGAUGCCUGGAGCUUUUAAGUUAUCCUGCAGCUCUCUGACUUUUGUCCUAAAUUUCUUUCAGAUGCGGAUGGAUUAGAUCCGUGGCAGAGCCCACCAAGGAGGAAACAGUUGUUCGUGAGAGACUUGCACACUGAAGUUUGAGGAGGACAGAAGUCUUUGUAUUGAUGGAAAGAGGAACACCAGGGAAAAACUUCUGCUUGUGUCCUCAGAGAGCAGUGGGAAGAGCCCAAGAGAAAUAUUGGCUGCUUGAGGGAUCCUUGUGUCCGCUCUGGAAUAAAUCCCUGCGUCUCCUCAGACCUGCUCGUUUGCAGCACAGUUUGGACACAUUUUGCUGCUAUGUUGGUUCUUAAGAAUUGGAAAUCCCUGGAUUUCUGGAUGAUUUCCAUAGGUUCUCCUAUUUAGUAGGAGCUGCAGAGUGAGGUAGUUGGCAAAAAUGGAGAGAGCCACUGGGAAGCAAAGCCACUGGAAGGCCUUAUACCCAGUCCAAGGUUCCUACUUUUCUCUCUGAUGCCUGGAUAAUUGCUUGACCAUAACCAGAGACUGUCCAUUUGAUUUUCCAAUAAAUGGUUACUUUCAGCUGGAGUGUGUUCCUGGGGUCAUCCUCCUCCUUCUCUGUUGGAACGGCAUGCAAUGUUAACAAUGGCAACGGCAUGUUGUUAACACGGAGGCAGGAGGUCUGCAGUGAAAGGCUGCUCCCCAAAAAGAGGGCCAGCCUGUUUAUUUCUUCCAUUUUUAUACGUUUGUGGGUCUGGUUAUGGAUUGGCUUCUGAGGUUACUACCCCUUCACCCCACUGGCCAGACCAGCUGUCAACCAACAUUAUUUUCAGGCUAGAAAUAUGUAAACAAAGGACUGUGAACAAAAACAAGAACGGUUGCUUAUGUUCCAAAGUGUGAGAAAAUGAAAAACUGACCCUUCAUAUUGAACAGAAACUAAAGAUCUGACUCCAUCUUAUGAACAAGUAGAAGGCUUUAAAAAAACUCAGAAAAGCCAGGGCAACACUCCUCCUCCAUGGAUUUGUAAAUAAAGUUCCUGACUUUUGCCAAGUAGACUUUUGUUAUUCUGAGAAUUGUGGCUCUUUUGUUCCGUUGAAACUUCCCCCCUCUGCCGAGAGUUUCAGAUGUCAAAUACAAGUAAGACUGGAGUUUCUUUGCAUUGUUACUCCCACAAAAUACAGAUCAUUCUUGGAUAGGAGAAACUUGACAUGUUUAGUUCACGCUACCCUUUAAAAUCAGAGCAGAGGAAGCAGAUUUUAAAUAAUCAUGAGCUUCCACCAACUUCCUGCCUGUUCCAAAAGUUUUUACUUAUAGAAAUUCCUGAGGUUGUUUUCCAGGCAAGUUGGGAUUUACAUGUUAUUCGUUCCUUUUAUUUGAUGUUUUUCCUCUCUCUGAUUUUAGUUAGGGAAUAUUUAUUUCUUCGAUUAUUCCAUACUAAUUGGAAUUUUUGUACAGCUUAGGGCACAUUGCCAAGGAAAUGUACCAAAUUAAUGUUAGUAAAUCAAGCAUUGUUCAGCACCAUAUCCACAGAAUUCUGUAAAUUCCCAGGAAAACUUGCUGAGUCUUUAGAUGCCAUAAUGAAUCUCUCUGUAAAGUUAAAUUUACUGCAUUUUAAAUUACAUGAAUCCCAUUAAAACUUAAAUCCUGGCCUAAUUGCUGUUCCUUGGAUGCCAUGUUGUGGUUCUUUCCUGUCUUGGUACAUUUGUUUCCCACUAAAAUAGAAUUUGUUUCCAAGCAAAACUAGUAAUUGUCUCCCUUAUUUUCUGGGAGGCACUGGGGUUUUUUCCCCUAUCCCUACAUCACUGAGGAUGCUCCCAGAGCUGUGUUAGGCAAGGGCAUGAUGUGAGAACGACAUUUAUUUAAUUUUGUAUUUUUUUAACUUAUUGUUUAGUGUAUUUUUUUUAAUGGUUUGUUUUUGGGGUUUAUUUCUUAUGAAUUUCUUCUUUUUUAUGGUAUUAUUUUAUUUUGUUCUAUUUUUAAAUUUUAUUUUAUGUUUUGCAUUUUUAAAUGUUUUUAUUUGUUAUUUAAUUUUAUUUAAAUUUAUUAUUUGUCUUUUACUUUUCAAAAUCAUUUGUAAAUUGUUUUAAUUUUUUUAUAUUUGUUUAUAGGUUAAUAAUUUUUAA
Molecule: long non-coding RNA, 3110 nt
Organism: Prinia subflava (tawny-flanked prinia)
Lineage: Eukaryota; Metazoa; Chordata; Aves; Passeriformes; Cisticolidae
Exons: 4
Source: RefSeq, a predicted model, not a curated record